RNAcentral lists this ribosomal RNA (443 nucleotides) under uncultured bacterium. RNAcentral's name for it is "partial 16S ribosomal RNA". It matches the Rfam family "Bacterial small subunit ribosomal RNA", at positions 338 to 795 of the family's 1533-position model. The record is from RNAcentral.
CCUACGGGUGGCAGCAGUGGGGAAUAUUGGGCAAUGGGCGCAAGCCUGACCCAGCAACGCAGCGUGAAGGAAGAAGGCUUUCGGGUUGUAAACUUCUUUUCUCAGGGACGAAAAACGUGACGGUUCCUGAGCACUAAGCCACGGCUAACUACGUGCCAGCAGCCGCUGUAAUACGUAGGUGGCAAGCGUUAUCCGGAUUUACUGGGUGUACAGGGCGUGUAGGCGGGGAAGCAAGUCAGAUGUGAAAACCACGGGCUCAACCUGUGGCUUGCAUCUGAAACUGUUUUUCUUGAGUACUGGGGAGGCAGGCGGAAUUCCUAGUGUAGCGGUGAAAUGCGUAGAUAUUAGGAGGAACCCCAGUGGCGAAGGCGGUCUGCUGGACAGCAACUGACGCUGAGGCGCGAAAGCGUGGGUAGCAAACAGGAUUAGAUACCCCUGUAGUC